CAUGCAGUCGAGCGGCAGCGACACAUUGACCCUUCGGGGGAUUUGUUGGGCGGCGAGCGGCGGACGGGUGAGUAAUGCCUGGGAACAUGCCUUAGUGUGGGGGAUAACCAUUGGAAACGAUGGCUAAUACCGCAUAAUCUCUACGGAGCAAAGAGGGGGACCUUCGGGCCUCUCGCGCUAAGAUUGGCCCAGGUGGGAUUAGCUAGUAGGUGGGGUAACGGCUCACCUAGGCGACGAUCCCUAGCUGGUCUGAGAGGAUGAUCAGCCACACUGGAACUGAGACACGGUCCAGACUCCUACGGGAGGCAGCAGUGGGGAAUAUUGCACAAUGGGGGAAACCCUGAUGCAGCCAUGCCGCGUGUGUGAAGAAGGCCUUCGGGUUGUAAAGCACUUUCAGCAGUGAGGAAGGCGGUAUCGUUAAUAGCGGUAUUGUUUGACGUUAGCUGCAGAAGAAGCACCGGCUAACUCCGUGCCAGCAGCCGCGGUAAUACGGAGGGGUGCGAGCGGUUAAUCGGAAUUACUGGCGUAAAGCGCAUGCAGGGCGGCUUUGUUAAGCCAGAUGUGAAAGCCCGGGGCUCCAACCUUCGGAAUUCCGCAUUUGGGAACUGGCCAGCUAGAGUCUGUAGAGGGGGGUAGAAUUCAAGGUGUAGCGGUGAAAU
Molecule: ribosomal RNA, 659 nt
Filed under: uncultured bacterium
Lineage: Bacteria
Description: bacterial SSU rRNA
Rfam family: Bacterial small subunit ribosomal RNA
Source: RNAcentral